This 817-nucleotide unclassified non-coding RNA is filed under the name Hevea brasiliensis (rubber tree). Lineage: Eukaryota; Viridiplantae; Streptophyta; Magnoliopsida; Malpighiales; Euphorbiaceae. The record is from RNAcentral.
UAUCCUUCAAAAAUUCCAAAGAAAUGAAGUCCCCUGUGAUUGAAAUCCAUCAUAGUUCAAAUAAUUCUCUUCUUCUAAUGAUUCCAAAUUAGGCAUUUGCAGUGGUGAUGGUUGUGGUGACGAUGGUGGUGGUAUAAAAAAUUCACCCGAUAAGUCAUCGAACCCCGGAAAAAUUCCAAAAUCAGACAUAUCAUUAACCGUUCCUAACGACGAAAACAUGUCAACAAAUCCGUUAUCCAAGGACAUUUCCGUCUUUUCACUUUCCACUCUAGACUCCACCCGAUACACAUCGAUAAAAUCGUUACCCAAGGUUAUUUCCGUCUUUUCACUUUCUACUCUAUCGGAAACUGACACCGACGGUGAUUCCGCUCGAAAUAUUUCCGAUGAGGAAGAAGAAAGAUCCGAAUUCUCCCUUGGCCCGACCCGGAUAAGUUCGGGUUCUGUAUUAUUCGCAAACUGCGCCGCCGCCGAUUGAAUCUCCGACGGAGUCAUCGUCCUUCCGUUCCUAAUCUCCGGCGGAUUUUCCGGGAAAUUGAAAUUAGCCCCUUUACCCCGCAAACAAAAAAGUGCGGCGUCAAAUGCUUUAGCAGCUUUUUCCGGCGUAUCAUAAGAACCCAACCAAAUCCUUUCUCUACUAUUAGGUAAUCUAAUUUCCGAUACCCAUUUCCCCCAUUUCCUCUUCCGUACUCCCCGAUACAACGACGACGAUGACGACUGUGAAAAUUCAGUAUCUUUCGAAUUGGGUUUCACCAUUUUUAAUCAAAUUUUAAAUUUUCUUUUGUGAAAUUGAAGUUAAAUUGAUGAAUCUUGAUGUGGG